This 492-nucleotide ribosomal RNA is filed under the name uncultured bacterium. RNAcentral describes it as "partial 16S ribosomal RNA". It matches the Rfam family "Bacterial small subunit ribosomal RNA", at positions 29 to 507 of the family's 1533-position model. The record is from RNAcentral.
AGUGAACGCUGGCGGUAGGCUUAACACAUGCAAGUCGAACGGCAGCACAGUAAGAGCUUGCUCUUAUGGGUGGCGAGUGGCGGACGGGAGACGAAUACAUCGGAAUCUACUUUUUCGUGGGGGUUAACGUAGGGAAACUUAAGCUCAUACCGCAUACGACCUACGGGUGAAAGCAGUGGAAAUUCGGACCUUGUGCGAUUGGAUGAGCCGAGGUCGGAUUUGCUAGUUGGCGGGGUAAAGGCCCACCUAGGCGACGAUUCGUAGCUUGUCGGAGAGAAGGGUCGGCCACACUGGAAGUGAGACACGGUCCAUAGUCCUACGGGAGGCAGCAGUGGGGAAUAUUAGACAAUGGGCGCAAGCCUGAUACAGCCAUACCGCGUGGGUGAAGAAGACCUUCGGGUUGUAAAGCCCUUUUGUUGGGAGAGAAAAGCAGCAGGUUAAUACCCCGCUGUUCUGACGGUACCCAAAGAAUAAGCACCGGCUAACUUCGUG